This 497-nucleotide ribosomal RNA is filed under the name uncultured bacterium. RNAcentral describes it as "partial 16S ribosomal RNA". It matches the Rfam family "Bacterial small subunit ribosomal RNA", at positions 28 to 507 of the family's 1533-position model. The record is from RNAcentral.
GAUGAACGCUGGCGGCGUGCCUAAUACAUGCAAGUCGAGCGAACAGACGAGGAGCUUGCUCCUCUGACGUUAGCGGCGGACGGGUGAGUAACACGUGGAUAACCUACCUAUAAGACUGGGAUAACUUCGGGAAACCGGAGCUAAUACCGGAUAAUAUAUUGAACCGCAUGGUUCAAUAGUGAAAGACGGUUUUGCUGUCACUUAUAGAUGGAUCCGCGCCGCAUUAGCUAGUUGGUAAGGUAACGGCUUACCAAGGCAACGAUGCGUAGCCGACCGGAGAGGGGGGUCGCCCCCACGGGAGGGGAGACGGGGACAAGCCGCCUGCGGGAGGACGCAGAAGGGAACCGUCGGCAAGGGGGGAAAUUUGUGCGGACAGGCCCGGCGUGAGGUACAGAGGUGUCGGGUUCGAAAAACUGUUUUUUGGGGAAAAAACAAAUUUGUAAUAAACUUUGCCGUUCUUGACGGUAAUUAAUAAAAAACCACCGGCUAACUACGUG